Molecule: non-coding RNA, 218 nt
Filed under: Labrenzia sp.
Lineage: Bacteria; Pseudomonadati; Pseudomonadota; Alphaproteobacteria; Hyphomicrobiales; Stappiaceae
Source: RNAcentral
CCAAUUAGCAGCGUUAUCGGUUCUCGAGGCCAGGACUGGCCUUGGGAUUAAAAGGGAACACGGUGAGGCGUACCCAGUAGGGACCAAAACCGUGGCUGCCCCCGCAACUGUAGGCGGAGAGCCGGAACCGACUAUGCCACUGGUGCUGCAAGCGCCGGGAAGGCCGGUUCAGGCAUAGACCCGCGAGCCAGGAGACCUGCCGCUGAUCGUCACGGCCU